RNAcentral lists this ribosomal RNA (490 nucleotides) under uncultured bacterium. RNAcentral describes it as "partial 16S ribosomal RNA". It matches the Rfam family "Bacterial small subunit ribosomal RNA", at positions 30 to 507 of the family's 1533-position model. The record is from RNAcentral.
AUUGAACGCUGGCGGCAGGCCUAACACAUGCAAGUCGAACGGUAACAGGAAGCAGCUUGCUGCUUUGCUGACGAGUGGCGGACGGGUGAGUAAUGUCUGGGAAACUGCCUGAUGGAGGGGGAUAACUACUGGAAACGGUAGCUAAUACCGCAUAACGUCGCAAGACCAAAGAGGGGGACCUUCGGGCCUCUUGCCAUCGUAUGUGCCCAGAUGGGAUUAGCUAGUAGGUGGGGUAACGGCUCACCUAGUCGACGAUCCCUAGCUGGUCUGAGAGGAUGACCAGCCACACUGGAACUGAGACACGGUCCAGACUCCUACGGGAGGCAGCAGUGGGGAAUAUUGCACAAUGGGCGCAAGCCUGAUGCAGCAAUGCCGCGUGUAUGAAGAAGGCCUUCGGGUUGUAAAGUACUUUCAGCGGGGAGGAAGGGAGUAAAGUUAAUACCUUUGCUCAUUGACGUUACCCGCAGAAGAAGCACCGGCUAACUCCGUG